AUCUAAGUGCCUUCGAGGGCACCCCUUAUCAAAUGCCUACACUGCCUCUCUGAGCACCCCAUAGUUAGCAAAAGGUUGUAAAUUUGUUGUCACAUCACUGUCGUGGGUUUUUAAGCUGGCAUUCCCUUCGGACAGUAUCUAAGAGCAAAGAGGAAUUGUUCUAGCGAGGAAACUUUUUUUACAGGAAGCUAAUACACUUAGAACACGCUUUAAAGAACAUGGAUACCCUAACAGGAUCCUUAAACAAGCAUUCCAGCGUGUUUCACUUGUGGAUCGAGCCACCUGUCUUAGAAAUCAAAAAAGCCAACCCAAAAAACAUAUUACAAUAUGUAUUGGGACUUCUGACCAGUUUUGGGACCCUAUCCGCAAGAUCUUUACAGAAAAUUGGCCCAUACUUACCCACGACAGUGAUGUGGCAACAAAUUUACAACCUUUUCCGAGCAUUACACCAUGGAGAGCCACCAAUUUACGCGACUUACUUGUCCACAGCCACUUGAAGCCUCAACAAGCACCUCUAACCUGGCUACAAUCAUCCAAAGGGAUGUUUAAAUGUGGACACUGUAAAGCUUGCAAAUAUAUCUUGCCAUUCAAAACAAUAGUAUGCACUAAUACCAAAACCACAUAUACAAUCAAAGAAUGUCAUCACUUGUAGCUGCAAACUACAAUAUGUGGGAAAAAUCUACCAGGAGUUCCAUAGGCGAGUGCUACAACAUGUCAACUCUGUGACAAAUUCUAACAUCUCUACACCAGUUGCAAAUCACGUAAGAAAUUUUCAUAAUACUGAUCCUACCAAUUUGAAUUUUCAAAUUUUGCAACACAUCCAUCUUAACACAAGAAAAGGUAACUUCAACCUUAUACUAUUGAAGAAAGAAUCUAGAUGGAUACAUCAAUUCAAAACACUGGCUCCUUACGGGCUUAAUGAGGAGUUUAAUUUCACUCCCUUCAUCCAUAAUUCAACAUGAUAUUAAUUCAGGUUGCACCAACAAGGUAUAUUGGGGGCAGACAACAUGGUGAACCACUAGAGUUCCCAGUUAUCAAUAACAGACCAGUUCUAGAACUGUUCCUUUAAGUCCUGUUACUCAUAUUCUGAUUGCCACUUAUACAGUACAAAAUUAACGGACAGAUUGCUCAUAUUAGUAGCAUUUUAAUAACUAGUCUAUGACUAGUCCCUCUUUUCAAAUACGGACUAACUUCAGAAAAUACUCUUCAACAAUCAAUAACUAAUCUGUUAGGACAACACAUCUAAAUAUGUUAUUAAUUUUUUUAGUCCAUUUAUUUCCCUUAUGUUAAUUCCCUACAUAGGUCAUUUGUAGUAUAUUCUUUUUAUUUAAUCUCUGAUACUAACAAUAAUUGGAUUUGUUUCUCACCCAUGUUCUAUGAGAUCUGAAACAUUAGUAGAAACAUAAGUUUUUCCUUUUAUAGUCUUAAUGCAUUAUAGUAUUCCUACUAUAUGCAAUAUUCGUGACCUUAUCCCCAUGGACAGCAUGCACUAAAUACUAUCCAUAAGAUCUGCAUUAGUAAUUCAUUCUGAUGUCAGCCAGUAUUCCCUGGCUGUAAUACUGAUACAGAACAUUCAACAGACGACCCAAUCAUUUUCUACUUUUUUCCUUUAACUGAUUCCCAAUAUUAUACACCGAUCUUCAGUGAUCUCGGCUUUUUUUUAUGUAUUUGUAAGAAGUCACAUUCUUCGUAUUACAAGAUAUAGUCACACUUAUACAGUUAAGUAUCUUUAGGGUUAAAAUUAGUAGAAAGAAAGCUUAAACCCUCCCCCUUAUCCUCAUUGGUCACCCUAACACAUAAAUACUGAUACCUACCUGUCUUCAGUUCCCCUCUGAUGAGUAACCCAGACGAAACACGCCUGUCAGGGGCUCUGGACGCUUAGUCGGCUAUACUUCUGCUGUUGCACUAACACAGCCGCAAUCUCGCUAGCUACAAUUGCUCCUUAAUCUAGGCGUUCUUUUUGGUAGUCCUGUUUUCUACUUAUUUGCUAACUAUGGGGUGCUCAGAGAGGCAGUGUAGGCAUUUGAUAAGGGGUGCCCUCGAAGGCACUUAGAUUUGUAACAAUUAGCCAGCGCUAGGUUUGUGACACUCUAUAUACUUGCAUUGAUCAUUACAUACUUAUUCUAGCGGUUCACUCUCACUGUCUCUGAACCCUCCUGUGCUAUAGGCACCUCAUUAUCACUUUUUGUGUAUUAUUGUUUUAUUUCUCUAACCACACUGGUGUGCUAUAUAGCAAUUUGAUAUUUAGAGCACAGGAGGCAUUCCUCUCAUAUCGAGAAGACUCAUUACUGCAGGAGAGUCUAUAGAAUAGAUGCACCCUGUGCUCCCUUCUGUUACUUUUUGCUACACAUUUUGUAGCAACUGUUCUAUUAUGAUUUAUUGAGUAUCUAUUUUCACUACCACUCUCUCUGCGAUAUUUGCUAUUUGAGAGUUCAGUGUUAGCUCUAGCUAGACAAUAGGACAUAAUUUAGCCUUGUGCUUUCUGUUUUUACUAUUAUUCUUCUAUGUGUCUAUUUUAGUAUACUUAUUAAAAGUUAAGUUUUAAGUUCAUUUCUACUGUGACAAUAUUGAUUAUGAUUCUAUAGUGAGACACCUAUUGGUAGUUUUUUUCCCUUUAAAUCAGGUGUCCGCUCUGUGAAAUGGUCCUAACCAGAGUCACUAACAAUUUAAUUACUUAACCAAAAAGGUUUGUUUGUUUUCUUUCCGUUUUUUUUUUUUUCUUCUCCUUCAACUUUCUGCUACUUUUGUUCAAAUUCAUUUGGUUUUCAUCAUACCUCUCUCCAUGUUACUUUAGUGUUUCCUUUUUGGGGGCAACCUUCUAACCACUAACUGUUUUAUUGGAACCCCCCUUCCCCACCGUCCUCCUAUAUGCUGAUACCACUCUCUGAUCUCUUUUUCACCCCCUGGUACAUUUCACUAACUGUCUAAGAGAAUGACUCUUCCUGAAACACAUUCUUUCUAAAAUUGAGCUUCUUAUCUUUCCUCCUUUUCAUAGGAACAAUUCUUUAUCACUCCCCUCCAGUCUAUUAACUCAAACCAUCAAAGCUUACUGCUGUGGUGUUAUUUUUUUAUUCGAUUUAUUUAUUUGCCGUUUUAUAUCCUCAUUGUAAAGCACUGUGGAGUGCUGUAUAAAUGAUGAUGGUGACUGAUUAUUUUUCAUGGUCACGCAGAGGUGUGGAUCACAUCCAAGUGUUCUUUUAUUGGUUUUGGAGUACAUAUUGAAUAGUUUAAUUAAUCUUUGAUUACAGUAAAAGUACCAUUUACACAUUCAAGUACUCCUUGUUCACCUCUGCAAUCACUGGUGAUCUGAAUUAUUCAAAGUGGGGUAGUCACCAUGGAAACUAGUGGCACAUUCCACUGGUGAGGGUGACUCCUCUUCUCAUAUUUAUAUGAACCAUUUUUAGAACAGAACACUUUGAUAAAUCUUCUCAUUUUUAAAAUGUAUUUUUAGUUAUUUUUUUUUAAUAAAUAUAUAUAUAAAAUACAUUUUGGGACAGAAUAGCUGAAUUAGACAUUAUCUCCAGAUGUUACACUUUACAGAACAGUAGCCAACUCCUUACAGCUCAGUUGUUUUUUUUAACUUUGCGUUCACGUGGUCUACAAUCCUCAUAAAGUCAAGCAGCUAGCAAUGAUAUAUUUUAAAGGAACACUCACUGCAGUAGUUAUGGUGCCAGUUAGUGUUCUGGUGCCCCUCUCCUCCCCCCCAAGGUAAGCUUACCUGGGGUCUGCCCAACAAGCUAGCUAAGUACAGCAUGGGAUAGAUUUGGAAGAAUACAAGUUUCUGCUUAGUAUCGGAUGGCUUUCCAGUGCUUGUUGUGUAAAUGGGGGUGUGGAAACGGACACUCUUGGCACUCAUUUCUAAAACUGUGUGCGACAAUGGUUAUUCAUUAAACUGUAUUUCAUCUUGCAAUAUUAUUCCAUCAGCUUAAAGAUGUAAAUGUGAGGUGUGUGAAAUAUAUAUUUCACGUACUUCCUUAAAGUAUAGUAUAUGUUCCCAGAAUGUAAUGAGUAGCUAGCACUCUAGUUAGCACAAUGUGCAGAAUGUUUUAUUGCCUUAUGUUUAUGGAUGAAGGGUAUAGUAACAUUGUUAUCUACAGUUCUUUCCAUUUGCACUUCUUGUAGUUUAGAGACAUAAUUGAUUUAUGUAGCUAAUGUUUGUUAUGAAAAUGUAAUGUUUUGUGUGUAUGAUAUUUCUUGUGAAAUUACAGUGCAUGCCCUAUUGAAGAACACAGAGUCAGUGCAACCUGUUUUGAUAUUUGUACCUUGUGACAAAGCAGGAUUUUUCUAAAAAGACUGUGCUACCUUUGCCAGGAGGUUAUUAAGUACACUCCUCAUGCUUUAAGGAAAAUUAUACUAUCCUACUUUGAACAGUCUUCCAGUGUUUCAAUAAUAACCAGUUUAUCAUACAUCUAAUGAAUUUAAAUAUGUGAUAAACUCUCUCCACUGAUCGGUGUUCAGUGUGUUUUAUGGGGACUUUUCUCUAGUACUACCAGAACAGCACUAGAAGAACCGAGACAAACCCGGGACAUUGCUAGAGGGGUCUAAAAUUGGAGCUGCCUUGUUGGAUGCAAGGGAAUUAUGACUCUUUAAACUAAAUGCUCAGAUCCACUGCCAUAUACCUUCUACCUGGAUAUUGGAUUAGAAAUCUGGAAAGGCAAAAAAAAGGUCCUGCAUAAUUUACAUGAAAGUCUGGGAGAGUUAUGGUAAUGCAAUCUUCUAGAAUUUCUCGAAUAAGUUCUUAUUGUGUGUGUAAUAUGUGUAUUUUUUUUAUUUAUUUAUUUUUUGCUACCAUGUGCUGCAGCAGAUUACAAAAUUUACAGUAAUCCAUUUAUUGUGCUCUGUUGAUCUCAUAAACCAACUGACAUGGAGGCUUUCAUGAGUUCAAAAUUUCUUCCAAUUCUGUUUUUGUGUAUGUAUGUUAUUAGAGUUAUCUUGUAUAGCUGAGAAUGUUAAAUAGAUGACAUUCAAUAAAUGGGUAUAUCUAUCUAGAGCUAGAACUCCUUGGUAAUGUAUCCAUUAUUGUAGCGGAUACAUGGGAUUAUCCUAGAAGAACCAUUGGGAUGUCUCAAUAUAUGUGUAAAAGUUCCAUAGGGUUAAUGCCAACAGACAGAAUAAUCAUCAUGGGAAAACACAGAUUGCAAAGCAUAGUCCUAAAUCUAAGUGCUAUAAUAUGUAUGGCUCGAUGACUUGAAUCUAUGUAGCAUGAAUUGCAAAAGGCGCUGUAUUUUAAUAUAGUGAAUGCUUUAUGGAGAUUGUGUCGCUGUGUCAUAUGUGAAUGUGUAGUGAUAAAAGUGCAUAUUUUAUUUUGUACGUGAAGCGAAAAUAUGACCGUUUUAUUCUUAGCUUUCUAAUUCUAUGAUUGUGUAUGUAAAAAAGGCACAGAGAUGUAUAUGUAAAUAUAUAUUUUACAUUUUGCUUGUUAGUCUUUUCUUUGGUAAUGCUUACAAUUCAGAAUGAGAGAUUAGAUAUUUUUUUUAAUUAUUUCAAUGUGUUAUUAUUUAUUGUAAUUCAUUAAAGAUGUUUAAAAUAAAGUUUCCAUAAAGAGUAGUAAAACCUUGACUCCCAGCAAUAUCAGAAAAACUAUCACGAAACCAGGAAAUUUUGUUACAAGGGGAAGGUAAAUCCUGGCUGGGAUAUGGCCUGUUCAUGCGCGCUAUCCACAGGUUAAGAG
Molecule: long non-coding RNA, 5671 nt
Filed under: Pelobates cultripes (western spadefoot toad)
Lineage: Eukaryota; Metazoa; Chordata; Amphibia; Anura; Pelobatidae
Source: RNAcentral